This 1060-nucleotide ribosomal RNA is filed under the name Salinibacterium sp. Its description in RNAcentral is "bacterial SSU rRNA". It matches the Rfam family "Bacterial small subunit ribosomal RNA", at positions 106 to 1173 of the family's 1533-position model. Lineage: Bacteria; Bacillati; Actinomycetota; Actinomycetes; Micrococcales; Microbacteriaceae. The record is from RNAcentral.
GUGAGUAACACGUGAGUAACCUGCCCUUGACUCUGGAAUAAGCGUUGGAAACGACGUCUAAUACUGGAUACGAGCUUCAGCCGCAUGGCUAGGAGCUGGAAAGAAUUUCGGUCAAGGAUGGACUCGCGGCCUAUCAGGUAGUUGGUGAGGUAAUAGCUCACCAAGCCUACGACGGGUAGCCGGCCUGAGAGGGUGACCGGCCACACUGGAACUGAGACACGGUCCAGACUCCUACGGGAGGCAGCAGUGGGGAAUAUUGCACAAUGGGCGAAAGCCUGAUGCAGCAACGCCGCGUGAGGGACGACGGCCUUCGGGUUGUAAACCUCUUUUAGUAGGGAAGAAGCGAAAGUGACGGUACCUGCAGAAAAAGCACCGGCUAACUACGUGCCAGCAGCCGCGGUAAUACGUAGGGUGCAAGCGUUAUCCGGAAUUAUUGGGCGUAAAGAGCUCGUAGGCGGUUUGUCGCGUCUGCUGUGAAAACUGGAGGCUCAACCUCCAGCCUGCAGUGGGUACGGGCAGACUAGAGUGCGGUAGGGGAGAUUGGAAUUCCUGGUGUAGCGGUGGAAUGCGCAGAUAUCAGGAGGAACACCGAUGGCGAAGGCAGAUCUCUGGGCCGUAACUGACGCUGAGGAGCGAAAGCAUGGGGAGCGAACAGGAUUAGAUACCCUGGUAGUCCAUGCCGUAAACGUUGGGAACUAGAUGUAGGGACCAUUCCACGGUUUCUGUGUCGCAGCUAACGCAUUAAGUUCCCCGCCUGGGGAGUACGGCCGCAAGGCUAAAACUCAAAGGAAUUGACGGGGGCCCGCACAAGCGGCGGAGCAUGCGGAUUAAUUCGAUGCAACGCGAAGAACCUUACCAAGACUUGACAUAUACGAGAACGGGCUAGAAAUAGUUCACUCUUUGGACACUCGUAAACAGGUGGUGCAUGGUUGUCGUCAGCUCGUGUCGUGAGAUGUUGGGUUAAGUCCCGCAACGAGCGCAACCCUCGUUUUUUUGUUGCCAGCACGUAAUGGUGGGGAACUCCAAAGGAAAAUGGCCGGGGGUCAACUCCGGAGGGAGG